RNAcentral lists this long non-coding RNA (367 nucleotides) under Bos indicus x Bos taurus (hybrid cattle). RNAcentral's name for it is "lncRNA (ENSBIXG00005025478.1)". The record is from RNAcentral. Lineage: Eukaryota; Metazoa; Chordata; Mammalia; Artiodactyla; Bovidae.
GAUCAAUAUAGUUGGGGUGCAGAUACAGGCCUUCCCCUAGGGAAACACUUGCAUCAGUAUUAGUGAGAGACCAAGUACACAUCUGAAGCAUUCCUGUGCUUUCUGUCCACUUGUCAGGUGAAGUUGCCACGUAUGACUGUCCAUCAGCCAGGAGAUGAACCCCCACCCGUGAGGCAGUGACUCAAGGUGCAAGGGAGUCCGGCAAGAAGUGUGGCGCACCCGAGUUGCUGCCACUGCUUUUUGGAUCACCCAGCACGGUCUUCUGAAGUCUUCCUGAAAGCAUCCCUGGUGAUCUGUGAGCCCUUGGUCGUGUUGCCCGCCUUCUUCCUGUGGGUCUUGCUGGAUGCUCAAUGUCCCUUUGUGGAGC